Long non-coding RNA from Sapajus apella (tufted capuchin), 283 nucleotides. RefSeq lists it as uncharacterized. NCBI's taxonomy places the organism in Eukaryota, Metazoa, Chordata, Mammalia, Primates, Cebidae. The record is from RefSeq and is a predicted model, not a curated record. The transcript is spliced from 3 exons.
CUGUAAUCUUAUACUUGAUAGUAUAGUUUGAAGUGGGAGUAAUAUGAUGCCUCUAGCUUUGUUCAUUUUGUUUAGGAUUCCUUUGGCUAUUCAGGCCCUUUUUUGGAUCCAAAUGAACUUUAAAAUUAUUUUUUCUAAUUCUGUGAAGAAUGUCAUUGGCAGAUGAAUAGCAAUAAUAUUGAAUCUGUACAUUGCUUUGGGCAAUGUGGCCAAUUUAACUGUAUUGAUUUUUCUAUUGAUGAGCAUGAAAUUUUUUUUCAUUUGUUUGUGCUGUCUCUGAUUU